AGGCGCGUAGCUCAGUUGGUAGAGCGCUAGCUCGACACGCUAGAAGUCGUUGGUUCAAGUCCAAUCGCGCCUACCA
RNAcentral lists this transfer RNA (76 nucleotides) under Desulfobacterales bacterium HSG16. Its description in RNAcentral is "tRNA-Val". It matches the Rfam family "tRNA". Rfam says of the family: Transfer RNA (tRNA) molecules are approximately 80 nucleotides in length. Their secondary structure includes four short double-helical elements and three loops (D, anti-codon, and T loops). The record is from RNAcentral. Lineage: Bacteria; Pseudomonadati; Thermodesulfobacteriota; Desulfobacteria; Desulfobacterales. RNAcentral also lists the same sequence under 1 other name.